UAUCAGUAAGCGGAGGAAAAGAAACUAACAAGGAUUUCUCCAGUAGCGGCGAGCGACUGGGAAUUAGCCCAACACCGAAUCCUGUGCCGUUUCGGCAUUAGGAGUUGUGGUGAAUAGGUUAGUGUCAUUGGCAAUGGAGACAGCUCUAAAUCUGCUUGAGUGCAGUGUUUGUCCAUAGAGGGUGUUAGGCCCGUUAGGGUUGUUGAAAUUGUCAUUGAUGCUUUCCAAUGAGUAGGAUUGCUUGGGAAUGCAGUCCAAAUUGGGUGGUAGAUUCCAUCUAAGGCUAAAUAUUUGUCUGAGUCCGAUAGCAAACAAGUACCGUGAGGGAAAGUUGAAAAGAACUUUGAAGAGAGAGUUAAAUAGUACGUGAAAUUGCUUAGAGGUAAACGAGUAGAGCCGAAGGUUGGUGCUUGGAAUUCAACUAUUUGUUCAUUGCCGAGUGUUGAUUUGGACCCGUUAAAAGGCUAAGUUAGCAUUUGUGUUGGUGGAUGGAUAGUGCACUUUCUUUGUACCAAAUAUGCGUCCAAUAGCACCGCUCCUCUGUCAUAGGAAUGAAGAUGAUGUGUUCUUCGGAAUACGUUUUACAGCAUCCUAUAUGGUUGAGCGUCGUAUUGUUGACAGCGAUCAGUCAACUGUUUGGUAUUAGCUAUUGUUGUUAUUGUGAUUGUUGACUCAAAUUGAGACCUCAGUUGCAGUACGGCUAUGGUUAGUGCUGAAUUGAGCUGGUCUAAAGUCGCGCAUGGUUUAUGUAGGCAGUCUACUUGUCCCGUCUUGAAACACGGACCAAGGAGUUUUAUAUGUUUGCAAGUCAAAGGGCCUUACGAAACCCCACGGCGUAAUGAAAGUAAAGUUUCACUUUAGUGAAAUGAGAUGUGAUCCUGUAUUAACCAUAUGCAGGCGCAACAUCGACCUGUCCGCUGAUGUUCGCAUCUGGGCAGAGUUUGAGCAAACAUGUAGAGACCCGAAAGAUGGUGAACUAUGCUUGUGCAGGUUGAAGUCAGAGCAAACUCUGAUGGAAGACCGAAGCAGUUCUGACGUGCAAAUCGAUUGUCAGACACGAGUAUAGGGGCGAAAGACUAAUCGAACCAUCUAGUAGCUGGUUCCCUCCGAAGUUUCCCUCAGGAUAGCUGGCGCUCAUUCUAGUAGUUGCAUCCGGUAAAGCGAAUGAUUAGAAGUAUUGGGAGCGCAAUGUUCUCAACUUAUUCUCAAACUUUAAAUGGGUGUGAAGUACAGCUCGCUUCAUUGGAGUUGUGCGGUUAAUAUGAGUGCUUAGUGGGCCAUUUUUGGUAAGCAGAACUGGCGAUGUGGGAUGAACCAAACAUCUAGUUAAGGUGCCUAAUGUCACGCUCAUGAGAUACCACAAAAGGCGUUGGUUGAUAAUGACAGCAGGACGGUGGACAUGGAAGUUGUCAUCCGCUAAGGAGUGUGUAACAACUCACCUGCCGAAUCAACCAGCCCUGAAAAUGUAUGGCGCUGUAGCGUGAAACCUAUACUGGAUCGGCAUGGUAAGCGAAAGCGAGUACGCCAUGUCGUGUAGGAGGGUGCCGUGGUUGCGUCGAAGCCUUGGGCGUGAGCCUGGGUGGAGCGGCUACGGGUACAGAUCUUGGUAGUAGUAGCAAUUAUUCAAGUGAGAACCUUGAA
RNAcentral lists this ribosomal RNA (1641 nucleotides) under Bdelloura candida. RNAcentral describes it as "eukaryotic LSU rRNA". It matches the Rfam family "Eukaryotic large subunit ribosomal RNA", at positions 41 to 1488 of the family's 3401-position model. The record is from RNAcentral. Lineage: Eukaryota; Metazoa; Platyhelminthes; Tricladida; Bdellouridae.